RNAcentral lists this long non-coding RNA (1059 nucleotides) under Sus scrofa (pig). RNAcentral describes it as "lncRNA (ENSSSCG00045023530.1)". The record is from RNAcentral. Lineage: Eukaryota; Metazoa; Chordata; Mammalia; Artiodactyla; Suidae.
UUUUCCAGUUAGUUUUCUGUUAUUGAUUUGUAGUUUAACUCCAUUAUGGACAGAGAGCAUACUUUGUAUGAUUUCCAUUCAUUUAAGUUUAUUAACUCUGUUUGUUUUGUUUUGGCUCAGGAAAAUUUCUCUUGCUUGGGGUCUUCUGUAAACGUUGGUUAGAUUCAGUUAGAUGAUGAUGGCAUUCAGAUCUUUUAUAUUCUUGCUGAUGCUCUCUGUAGUUAAAUCCUUUACUUGGAGAGCAUGUUGAAGUCUCCAACUAUAAUUGAGGGGUUUAUUUUUCCUUUCGUAUCUGUAAUUUUUUUUUUUUUUGUCUGUUUAGAGCCUCACCCAGGGCAUAUGGAAGUUCCCAGGCCAGGGGGGAAUUGGAGCUGUAGCCGCCGGCCCACACCACAGCCAUAGCAAUGUGGGAUCUGAGCCACAUGUAACCUACACCACAGCUCACAGCAACGCCGGAUCCUCCACCCACCAAGAGAGGCCAGGGAUCUAACCUGUGUGCCUUCUCCACUUUUUAGAUGUCUGCCUUGCUCUUACUGCCAUUGCUACUGCCAUUGCUCUUCUGCCACAGCCACCACCUUUGCAGUAUUGCCUAGGGGCAGGGUAGAGGGAAGAAAAACAAAACAAAACAGAGAAUUUCCUCCUUUGUCCUUUAUCUUCCUUUUCCUUUUUUUGCUUUUUGAGCCAGAAAUAGGUUUUUUCUUAAGAGUUUUUUCUCUGUACUCAGUGUGCACUUGUGGGUUUUGGGCUGCCCUUGGGUCCAGGCUGGGUAGUGCUGGAGGAAAGUGAUAACUUCUUGCCAAUUUGAUGGAAUUUCUAAUUCUGCUUUCUUUCUCCAGUCUGCUCACUGUCACUGACUUUUCACAGCCCUCAGCUAGCUGUGGCAUGUAUUUUGUUCAGAAUUUAUAGUUGCAAAUGGAGGGAGAGAGAGGCAGGAAUCUCCAUGGAGUGUUGUUUAUUCCAUCUUCACUGGAACCAGAACUUAGUUUUGAUCUUAGAAUGUAUUCUGAAAUAUACCAAAAUUCUUUACUAUGUAAAUAAACUUUUAUUUUUCAUUCAUGC